RNAcentral lists this non-coding RNA (30 nucleotides) under Rattus norvegicus (Norway rat). Lineage: Eukaryota; Metazoa; Chordata; Mammalia; Rodentia; Muridae. The record is from RNAcentral.
UAACCACUGAGCCAUCUCUCCAGCCCUGAC